Molecule: microRNA precursor, 84 nt
Filed under: Medicago truncatula (barrel medic)
Lineage: Eukaryota; Viridiplantae; Streptophyta; Magnoliopsida; Fabales; Fabaceae
Description: miR5219 stem-loop (mtr-MIR5219)
Source: miRBase by way of RNAcentral
CGACAUUUGUUGUACCGGCAGAGAUUUUUCCGGCUAGGCUAAGGUCUACCUGUCAUGGAAUCUCAGCUGCUGCAGGAAAGGCAG